This 512-nucleotide ribosomal RNA is filed under the name uncultured bacterium. RNAcentral's name for it is "partial 16S ribosomal RNA". It matches the Rfam family "Bacterial small subunit ribosomal RNA", at positions 355 to 857 of the family's 1533-position model. The record is from RNAcentral.
UAGGGAAUCUUCCACAAUGGACGCAAGUCUGAUGGAGCAACGCCGCGUGAGUGAAGAAGGUCUUCGGAUCGUAAAGCUCUGUUGUUGGUGAAGAAGGAUAGAGGCAGUAACUGGUCUUUAUUUGACGGUAAUCAACCAGAAAGUCACGGCUAACUACGUGCCAGCAGCCGCGGUAAUACGUAGGUGGCAAGCGUUGUCCGGAUUUAUUGGGCGUAAAGCGAGCGCAGGCGGAAUGAUAAGUCUGAUGUGAAAGCCCACGGCUCAACCGUGGAACUGCAUCGGAAACUGUCAUUCUUGAGUGCAGAAGAGGAGAGUGGAACUCCAUGUGUAGCGGUGGAAUGCGUAGAUAUAUGGAAGAACACCAGUGGCGAAGGCGGCUCUCUGGUCUGCAACUGACGCUGAGGCUCGAAAGCAUGGGUAGCGAACAGGAUUAGAUACCCUGGUAGUCCAUGCCGUAAACGAUGAGCGCUAGGUGUUGGGGACUUUCCGGUCCUCAGUGCCGCAGCAAAUCG